Molecule: ribosomal RNA, 253 nt
Filed under: uncultured bacterium
Lineage: Bacteria
Description: partial 16S ribosomal RNA
Rfam family: Bacterial small subunit ribosomal RNA
Source: RNAcentral
UACAGAGGUCUCAAGCGUUGUUCGGAAUUACUGGGCGUAAAGGGUUUGUAGGUGGCCGGCUAAGUCAGACGUGAAAUCCCUCAGCUUAACUGGGGAACUGCGUCUGAAACUGAUCGGCUCGAGUGCAGGAGAGGAACGCGGAAUUCCAGGUGUAGCGGUGAGAUGCGUAGAUAUCUGGAGGAACACCGGUGGCGAAGGCGGCGUUCUGGACUGCAACUGACACUGUAAAACGAAAGCCAGGGGAGCAAACGGG